Long non-coding RNA from Brassica napus (rape), 1793 nucleotides. RefSeq lists it as uncharacterized. The record is from RefSeq and is a predicted model, not a curated record. NCBI's taxonomy places the organism in Eukaryota, Viridiplantae, Streptophyta, Magnoliopsida, Brassicales, Brassicaceae. The transcript is spliced from 2 exons.
AACAAAAUAAUAUACUUUAGUCGAUAACCAUUAUCAAAUAGAUCACAAAAUAUAAUUUUCUUUCAACAUAUUUUUAUCUUCAUAUUUUUGAAUAUAUUUUCUUUACUAAUACCAUAAAAUAAAUUGUAAAUUUAUUUAGAAAUAAAACAUACGAAUCCGGCGCUACGCCGGAAGACCACUAGUGUGUAUAUAAAGUAGAGUUUUAUUCUCUUUUCCUCUGGCCACCUUAAAAAAAAAAUAGGGAAAGGAGAGUUCUGCACGUGUCCAUCUCCUAUUUUCGUGAGCCAUUUUUUUUAUGACUAUUUGGGCCGCUUAUGUUUGUGUUGAGAUGACAAGGCCGGUCUCUCUUUUGAAUAAAAAGCCCUAAUAACAUGUCUUCUUCGUCAACGGUGGUCGACCUUUCGAUUCACCUAUAUUCCACCGGCUCUGCGCAACGCUUUUCUUCUGUAUUGAAACUUUAUCACUACGAUUCACCAUUAAUUAUCUCAUUGAAACUCUACCAUGAUGUUGAAUGUUAUUACCCCUUUCCUAACCUCUAUAGCUAAACCCUAAUUUGUUCCACUAUAAAAUUAGAUGCAUCAAACUCAGAAUCUUGCAGCAUUACCUGAUUCGACCCUUCUGCUUCCUUACAAAGACAACCUGCAACAAUAGUACCAUCCCAUAUAUUUAUUACUGAUUUGAAGUCGGGUCUUUGUUCUCAGGCAGUGGUAACGCCUCUUCUGUGUUUCUGGGUACCUCGGAACGUGAAGCAAGGAGGGAGGGAGUUGACAUGCUUUUGCUUGAUGAGAAGGUUAGGCUAAUAUUUUCUCCUUGAUUAUGCAUUAUCUUUUUCCCAUUCGUCCAUUUAUACUUACAAAGGCUGUUCAUGUUUUCACUCUUCAAAGUCCACUCUCCUGCAAGUUUCUGUCAAUGUGCAUCCGCUUAACACCCACCACAAGCUGUCCAUUUGUUUCUCAGUUGUCACACGUCUUGUUAGAGGAGCUUGAUGUGAAAAGAGGGUGAGAUCAUGGUCAUGGACAUGCAGCUUCUUGAUGAAAAGGUAUGUGUCUGCUUGAUAAGCUUUUACAAUCGUUUUAACACACGCAUAUAUUCACACUAUUAUUGUUUUCAUUCACCUCUUUUCCAAGGUUCUUCCAUUGCCGGAAUAAUAAGAUGUAGAACAUUUUGAGGAUUUGAAAGAAGAAGAUGAUAUUUGAUCAAUAAAGAAACAACAAAAGAAGGGAAUAAGAUGUUGAUCGUGAUGGUGACGAACCCACAAUUAGAGAUGGUGCCUCUUCUUCAGACAACGAAGAGGCUUUGGUGGUCAGGCAACAUGAUGAAAGAUGAUUAUGGUUCUGAUGAUGAGGAGGAGCUAUUUAUAAAAGAAACACCCCAUAUCACAGUAGCAUCAACCGAUGAGAUUAACACUGUCUCCAAAGAAGUAGGCGGCUUGACAGCAGAAAUCAGAGUGGCCGCAAAUGCGAACCAGGAACCAUCCUCAUCUGUAAUCAAACGUCUUGCAUCAACCAAUCUGAUACUUGACCCCAAUGAGAAUGCUCAGAACAUAGCACGCCGGGCAUAGCUCGAUGUGUAAAAUAAAAAUCCACACCAUCUUUGCUUUCCAACUAAUAUUUACCAGCACUUUCUUCUUCUUCUUUUUUCAUUUAAACUCGAUGUAGUUGUUGAUGUUCGAACUACUGCAAGUUAUUUUCAUUCGAUGUAUGUCUUUGUUUUAACACGUCUAACCAUGGAAAAUGGUAUUAUGUAGGGAAUAUAUGUAAUUAAGUUUUAAAGUAUAGAUAAAUUGGAAUUUA